GGAUCCCUGGCAGCUUGCUGCCGGGGUGAGAGUGGCGAACGGGUGAGUAAUGCGUGACCGACCUGCCCCAUGCACCGGAAUAGCUCCUGGAAACGGGUGGUAAUGCCGGAUGUUCCACAUGAGCGCAUGCGAGUGUGGGAAAGGCUUUUUGCGGCAUGGGAUGGGGUCGCGUCCUAUCAGCUUGUUGGUGGGGUAACGGCCUACCAAGGCGUUGACGGGUAGCCGGCCUGAGAGGGCGACCGGCCACAUUGGGACUGAGAUACGGCCCAGACUCCUACGGGAGGCAGCAGUGGGGAAUAUUGCACAAUGGGCGCAAGCCUGAUGCAGCGACGCCGCGUGCGGGAUGGAGGCCUUCGGGUUGUAAACCGCUUUUGUUCAAGGGCAAGGCACGGUUUCGGCCGUGUUGAGUGGAUUGUUCGAAUAAGCACCGGCUAACUACGUGCCAGCAGCCGCGGUAAUACGUAGGGUGCAAGCGUUAUCCGGAUUUAUUGGGCGUAAAGGGCUCGUAGGCGGUUCGUCGCGUCCGGUGUGAAAGUCCAUCGCUUAACGGUGGAUCCGCGCCGGGUACGGGCGGGCUUGAGUGCGGUAGGGGAGACUGGAAUUCCCGGUGUAACGGUGGAAUGUGUAGAUAUCGGGAAGAACACCAAUGGCGAAGGCAGGUCUCUGGGCCGUUACUGACGCUGAGGAGCGAAAGCGUGGGGAGCGAACAGGAUUAGAUACCCUGGUAGUCCACGCCGUAAACGGUGGAUGCUGGAUGUGGGGCCCUUUUUCCGGGUCCUGUGUCGGAGCUAACGCGUUAAGCAUCCCGCCUGGGGAGUACGGCCGCAAGGCUAAAACUCAAAGAAAUUGACGGGGGCCCGC
This 861-nucleotide ribosomal RNA is filed under the name Bifidobacterium pseudolongum subsp. globosum. RNAcentral's name for it is "bacterial SSU rRNA". It matches the Rfam family "Bacterial small subunit ribosomal RNA", at positions 67 to 924 of the family's 1533-position model. The record is from RNAcentral. Lineage: Bacteria; Bacillati; Actinomycetota; Actinomycetes; Bifidobacteriales; Bifidobacteriaceae.